This 84-nucleotide transfer RNA is filed under the name Clostridiales bacterium. RNAcentral's name for it is "tRNA-Leu". It matches the Rfam family "tRNA". From Rfam's summary of the family: Transfer RNA (tRNA) molecules are approximately 80 nucleotides in length. Lineage: Bacteria; Bacillati; Bacillota; Clostridia; Eubacteriales. The record is from RNAcentral.
GCCCAAGUGGCGGAAUGGGUAGACGCACAGGACUUAAAAUCCUGCGGUGGCAACACUGUGCCAGUUCGAGUCUGGCCUUGGGCA